UCUGCACUCUGCUCUCAUUGGACAAGCACCACAAUUUGGAUUUUUCUUUGUGCAAACAACCUUUCCAAAAGUUAUCAUGUGAUAGUGCAAUUCAUACAAUGUUUUUUGAUCAAGUUCGCAUAGUCGGGGCCAGAGAUAUUGUUGAAUGGAGUCCAUCACUGGGUACUCUUCUAAAAGGUGAAAUUGAAGGUCUCCAGGGAGUGGUUCCAAGGGGAUCCAUCCUAAACGCACUGAUAUUCGAGCAACAUUUAUGUCAACAGGGAAAGCAAUAUUUUUGAGCGCCAAAAGCCGUACGCAUUCCACGCUCUUCAAGCCCAAUCCUGGUAUCUCCAACAGGUAUUCCUUCACAAGAUCUUGUGGUGCAUAACGUAACCAUUCCAAGUCAAUGCUUCCAUGAUAUUCAUAUACUCGAUUGAGGAAGUCCUGAAUUCUUUUUGCAAUAAUAGUUUGUUGGCCCCUUCCUUUAAUGACUUCAGUAAUCUCAGUUAAGGGUGCCUGCCUAACUGCCUCCCAGUCCACGGAAUCUGUUUGGUUCCUAGCUCUUGGUCUGGAAUAUAUUCUUCUCAAACUAUCCCAAUCCCUCUUUUCUACUUCUUUCUCCUUAUCAUUCUCUUUCUUCCCUCCCGUAGUCUUUCUUGUCUUAUUGGCAGCUCGUUUCAAAGCACUACGAAUGCUUUUUACCAAAUUAAGAAUGUUUAACUGGAUUUCAUUCAAUUCACUUUGUGUGUGCAAAUUUCCCUUCAUCCCAACUUCUGCUUCUGAGCUCUUUGAGUUUGAUCUUGGAUUCAAACUCUCCAUCCCACUUGAUGCAUUUCCCGGGUUCUCAUAUCUUUGUACUUCGCUUUCAUGUCUACAAUAUUCCUGAGGUAAGAUGUUAUUUCCAAUGUCUUCAAUAUCUACCAAGCUUGUUCCUUCUACCAUAUCCACUGGGGUUUCGUGUUCAGGAUCAGUGACAAAAUAUUGGUUACCAUGUGAAACUUGUGUUUCUCCGGUGUACAAGACGUUACUUCUAGUGGAUUCCUGGCUAUUCUUGUUCUCCAGGUCAUCAGCGGAUGCUUCUUGAUUACUUGUUGACUGAACAGGACACUUCGCAGCAAGUGACAUGUAAGCAGAACUUGAAAGAAAAUCUGAAACAUUCUGAGUUAAGAAUACUCCUACCACUGAGUCCACUACUGAUCCUUUCCACGGUUUGAACCUUCUAUCUCCUAGAACUAGAUGCAUUCUAGAAUUAAAUGAAUCUACCCGUCCACGGAAAAUUUUUCUUUCUUCUUCCCACUUUUUUUCUUUUUCUUCGUCUACUUUUUCUUCACCUGCACCAUCAUCUAUUUUCAUCAGCUGAUUCCACCGUCUAACUGUCUCUGAGUCUAGAACAAUCUUUGGUUUUGGUUUUUUGGCAGAAUCAGAACCCUGAUGAGGAACUAUAGCACUUAUAUCACUGAUCUUUAGCUUCUUAAACUUCUCAAUAAUUUGGUUCACCACCCCACCUUUAUGGGUAACACUACUCUUUCUCUUGAAUACUUUCAGUGGACGUGUACAUAUUUGAAUUAUUGCAAGGGAAGACAAAUUUGCUCUUGGAAUAAACCGUCUCGAUCUCUUCUUUUUUAUGCAACCAUGGAAGCGGAGAAAACCUGAAAUGGACACAAUAGAUUUUCUCUGCCUUUUGAUCCUCCUUCUCCUGCAUCUCUUUGGGAAAUUAGGUUCAACUUUUCUAAUAUUGCUGAGACAAUGAUUUACUUUAAAUGGCAUCUGAUGAACCCAUGAGGGCCUGUGUUGGAAUUGGAAACCAGUUUGGUUCCUUACAUAGGGAUUCCUACAAUAAUCCCUCGCUGAUCUUGCUCCAUGAAUGCUCCAUCUGAAUGAAUUUACUUGCAAGUCAAGAUCAUUCAACAACUUUUGCCCUCCAAAAGAACCCACAUUAGACUGCAUAGUUGACUUCAUAUCACUAGCAUGGCUUGCAGCAAGUUCAGAUACAAUUGACAUGGUUGGUAGCCUCACUUUGUCAUCACUUGACUGGCAUCCUGUAACAGCAACUUCUAGUACACCCAUAUUUGGUUUCACAAUUUCCAUCAUGUUAUCAUCAUUUGGUUGUUUUACUACGGUCAAUAAGCUCGAAUUUGCAACAACAAUGUUAGUGCAGUACUCUGUAGUUGAGGUUUGUUGGGUACCUGUUUCCCCCUUUUUCAUGGACUCAGUUUUUCUAACAUGAUUCUUCUUUUCCUUCUUCACCACAUACUUCCUCUUCUCCUUGUUUUUUACAGGUGAAUUCUUGACAGUUCUUUUGGAUCUACCUUGACCAGCAAUUUUGGGCCUAUGUCUAUGUUUCCUACUUUUGGAUCUCUUCAGCGGCCUUUGGUUCACAUCUGUGACAUUUCUUGGUCUUUUGUUGAUAUUGUGCUUCAACAAUGGGGUUGCUGGCUCUAAGCACUCAACUUCUUGUGAAACUUUAUCUUGACCACACCGAGUUACAUGAGAUCCUGUGUUGCUUGUAUCAUUCUCCACAUCUAAGUUGUGCAAGAGAUUAUGGCUUUCAGGUAAAAAGUUCUCUCUACUAAGUUCUACAGUGUUUCUGUCAAUUCUAGAAGCUGAAACCUUAAAAGAAGGAACAGUUAUCCAGCCUAUCGCAUCUUUUAUUGGAGCAUUUGAGGAUUCUUGAGAGGCUUCACCUUGGGUUGUUGCAGUUUCAGAUUCUUGAAAGGGAGGAGCUACACUGGGACAAUUCAAGAACCCUGCAGAAGUAGUACUGUUCAAUGGUGCAUUCCAUUCAUAAAGGCCUUCAUUUGACUCCCCUGAGGUGCCGAAAUCUAAAUGUCUAGCCACAUUAUUAGUACAAGCCUUUAUAUCACUCAGACUGCUAAGUGCCUCCUGACAACUGAAGUCUCCUUCUUCCCCUGAACAUCCAGAACUGUUGACAACAAAACAUGCAGGUUCUCCUGAAUAUCCAGAGUCCUUAGAACCACCGGGAGCAAUUACAACAUCUUCCCAAUCACUAAUACUCUUGUUCAGAUCAAUCAGGUCAUCAGAACUACAAUGAGAUUUAUGUCCUUUUUCCUCAUUGUUUUUGUCAGGAGAAGCCCUACCACGAGCCUCCACUUCAGAAAUCUGCGCCAGAGAACUUUUUCCUAAGUUGCCUUUCAGGCACCUUUUAGUAUACACUUUCUGUAGUCUGGCUGGUUUAGUUUUUGCAGGUGUUUCUGGAAUCCAAUAGCCAUGCACUUCAGGAAGCUUUUCAAUUUGACGGCCAAGUUCCCUGUUCUUGAAUUUUCUCUGGUAAACCCUGAUGGUUGACAUGUUUAUACACCUGGCUGAGCUGAACAGAAAUAUUCUAAUUGUCAAUCUUCAUGUAUCACCUCCUUUCCCAGAUAAAAGGGCAGCAUUAACAAUUCUCUUCUGGAGAAUCCUCUAUCAACAUUGAAUGAAGGGAAUCAACAUUGAAUGAAGUAUCAAACUCUUUUUCUUCCUUCGAGAUACAGGAGAGCAAUUACAAGGAAAGAUAAGCAAGUAGUCCCAAAAAGCUCUACUGAUAACAAUUGCAUGCUUCCACUCAACAUCUUAGGGUAGAGGAAGUGAUAAAAUAGAAUCUAAACCUCGAAAAAAAAAAGAAAAAACUUUAAAAACGGUGGAUUGAGCACCUGGGAUAAGGACGAAAUGAG
This 3650-nucleotide unclassified non-coding RNA is filed under the name Hevea brasiliensis (rubber tree). The record is from RNAcentral. Lineage: Eukaryota; Viridiplantae; Streptophyta; Magnoliopsida; Malpighiales; Euphorbiaceae.